GGGCCCGCACAAGCAGCGGAGCAUGUGGUUUAAUUCGAAGCAACGCGAAGAACCUUACCUAGACUUGACAUCUCCUGAAUUACUCGUAAUGGAGGAAGCCCUUCGGGGCAGGAAGACAGGUGGUGCAUGGUUGUCGUCAGCUCGUGUCGUGAGAUGUUAGGUUAAGUCCUGCAACGAGCGCAACCCUUAUCAUUAGUUGCUACCAUUAAGUUGAGCACUCUAGUGAGACUGCCGUGGUUAACGCGGAGGAAGGUGGGGAUGACGUCAAAUCAUCAUGCCCCUUAUGUCUAGGGCUACACACGUGCUACAAUGGGUAAUACAAAGAGAUGCAAUACAGUGAUGUGGAGCAAAAACUAUAAAAUUACC
This 366-nucleotide ribosomal RNA is filed under the name uncultured Clostridium sp. RNAcentral's name for it is "bacterial SSU rRNA". It matches the Rfam family "Bacterial small subunit ribosomal RNA", at positions 917 to 1286 of the family's 1533-position model. The record is from RNAcentral. Lineage: Bacteria; Bacillati; Bacillota; Clostridia; Eubacteriales; Clostridiaceae.